AAAUAGAUACAUUUUUGAGCAAGAGAGGAUGAAGAAGUAAAUGACAUAAAGGUAAAGAGCUUAUACAAAUGCUCUAGUUGUUCCUUAGAGAAAAGAGAUGCCUCAAAGUUGACUUUAUUCUCCACAUUUUCUCCAUUUGCAACUCGGAAGGCCCUACCUUCUCCAUUUGGCUUCUUCUUCUAGUGUAGUGGUUUUCCAUUAAGUUAAGUGUGUCAUGGUCAUCUACAUUGAUCACACAAAGGUCGUUUUUUUCUUCCGCCGUCUACUUCAAAACCCUUUACAGCCAUAGCAGAACUCUCAAUUUCUUGCACCCUUGUACUGUCAGAGUUUUGCAGCAUAACUUUCCUUUUGGAUUCCUCCUUCCUUACUUCAGAAAAUAUUUCCCUCAACGAAGGCAAAGGCUUUCUGCCCAAAAUUCGAUCACAGACUUCGUCAAGUUCUGGAUUGAGUACUGCUAGAAACAUAUAACCUCUAUCAUUUUUUUCUCUUUUCUUAAAUUUGUUUGUAUCUUUGAAAUUCUCCCAAUCAUCCUCAUAACAUUGGUCAAACUCUUGCCAAAGGACAACCAUGAGAUUAAAGAACGUUGUGACAUCUUUAUCUCUUUGUUUGGACUACCACAAACGAGUCAUAAGUUCAUAAAUCUAUGAGGAGUUCUCCAAGUCAGAAUAAGAAUCGCAUACAAUUCCC
This 687-nucleotide long non-coding RNA is filed under the name Cicer arietinum (chickpea). RNAcentral's name for it is "long non-coding RNA (CARI_LNC002895)". Lineage: Eukaryota; Viridiplantae; Streptophyta; Magnoliopsida; Fabales; Fabaceae. The record is from RNAcentral.